RNAcentral lists this ribosomal RNA (468 nucleotides) under uncultured bacterium. RNAcentral's name for it is "partial 16S ribosomal RNA". It matches the Rfam family "Bacterial small subunit ribosomal RNA", at positions 28 to 507 of the family's 1533-position model. The record is from RNAcentral.
GACGAACGCUGGCGGCGUGCUUAACACAUGCAAGUCGAACGGAAAGGCCCUGCUUUUGUGGGGUGCCCGAGUGGCGAACGGGUGAGUAACACGUGAGUAACCUGCCCUUGACUUUGGGAUAACUUCAGGAAACUGGGGCUAAUACCGGAUAGGAGCUCCUGCUGCAUGGUGGGGGUUGGAAAGUUUCGGCGGGUGUGGAUGGACUCGCGGCUUAUCAGCUUGUUGGUGGGGGAGUGGCUUACCAAGGCUUUGACGGGUAGCCGGCCUGAGAGGGUGAACGGCCACAUUGGGACUGAGAUACGGCCCAGACUCCUACGGGGGGCAGCGGUGGGGAGUAUGGCACAAUGGGCGGAAGCCUGAUGAGGCAACGCCGGGUGCGGGAUGACGGCCUUCGGGUUGAAAACCGCUUUCGCCUGUGACGAAGCGGGAGUGACGGUAAUGGGUAAAGAAGCACCGGCUAACUACGUG